RNAcentral lists this ribosomal RNA (314 nucleotides) under uncultured Coriobacteriales bacterium. RNAcentral's name for it is "bacterial SSU rRNA". It matches the Rfam family "Bacterial small subunit ribosomal RNA", at positions 28 to 339 of the family's 1533-position model. Lineage: Bacteria; Bacillati; Actinomycetota; Coriobacteriia; Coriobacteriales. The record is from RNAcentral.
GACGAACGCUGGCGGCGUGCCUAACACAUGCAAGUCGAGCGGAGACACGGGACUUCGGUUCUGUGUUUCAGCGGCGGACGGGUGAGUAACGCGUGAGCAAUCUGUCCCAUUCACCGGGAUAACAACUGGAAACAGUUGCUAAUACCGGGCGAGACCACAGCACCGCAUGGUGGAGGGGUAGAAGGGAUACCGGAGUGGGGUGAGCUCGCGUCCCAUUAGGUAGUUGGUGAGGUAAAGGCCCACCAAGCCGACGAUGGGUAGCCGACCUGAGAGGGUGAUCGGCCACACUGGAACUGAGACACGGUCCAGACUCC